UGGGGAAUAUUGGACAAUGGGCGAAAGCCUGAUCCAGCCAUGCCGCGUGUGUGAAGAAGGUCUUCGGAUUGUAAAGCACUUUAAGUUGGGAGGAAGGGCAGUAAAUUAAUACUUUGCUGUUUUGACGUUACCGACAGAAUAAGCACCGGCUAACUCUGUGCCAGCAGCCGCGGUAAUACAGGGGGUGCAAGCGUUAAUCGGAAUUACUGGGCGUAAAGCGCGCGUAGGUGGUUCGUUAAGUUGGAUGUGAAAUCCCCGGGCUCAACCUGGGAACUGCAUUCAAAACUGACGAGCUAGAGUAUGGUAGAGGGUGGUGGAAUU
Molecule: ribosomal RNA, 321 nt
Filed under: uncultured bacterium
Lineage: Bacteria
Description: partial 16S ribosomal RNA
Rfam family: Bacterial small subunit ribosomal RNA
Source: RNAcentral